AUGCGCAAAUUGGACCUGUAUAAAGAGCGACACAUUUCCGCUGUUUGUGUGUGUGCGCUUUGUGAAGGACGCAGCCUGCAGUUUGACGUCUUUUUCUUCCUUUUAUUGUACUUGUGCGUCUCACUGAAAAGGGAAAUAAGUUCUUACGGUGUCUACUUGAAUGUCAACGUAUUAAACAUUUUUGGAAACAUCAGUUAAGGAGCAAAAGACCAUCAUUUCAGUGGGGUAGCAACAAACACGGCUAACUGACCGACUCAGAAUCAUAAAUAGAUUUCCUCACAGAAUACACAUUUUCUUGUCCAGUAUUAGAGGUGUAUUAGAGGCUAAUU
Molecule: long non-coding RNA, 329 nt
Organism: Cyprinus carpio carpio
Lineage: Eukaryota; Metazoa; Chordata; Actinopteri; Cypriniformes; Cyprinidae
Source: Ensembl